Non-coding RNA from Camellia sinensis, 442 nucleotides. NCBI's taxonomy places the organism in Eukaryota, Viridiplantae, Streptophyta, Magnoliopsida, Ericales, Theaceae. The record is from RefSeq and is a predicted model, not a curated record.
CUCUGCCUCUGCCUCACACUCACACUCACACGGCGCUCCUCUCUCUCUCUCUCUCGCUCGCCAUCGCCACUGGUCUCUCCCUCACACACCGAGCCUCUCACUCACACACGGCGCUCCUCUCUCUCUCUCGCUCGCCACUGGUCUCUCGCUCUCUCUUUCAUCUGUCACCGCCGCGCCUCCCUCCUCACCACCGGCGAUCCUCCGAUCCUCCCUCACCGACGGUCCGACGCUCCUCCGUCGCUGAUGCUGCUGGACAGAUUGUAUAUAUUGCAAUGCUACAGGUGUACAGAUUGUAUAUAUGCUGCUGGACAAAUAUAUUUUAAAAUUGCUGCAGGUUAUUUUGUAUGGCAAUGCUACAGGUUUACAAAUAUAUUUUAAUCCAUAUUAAUUGUCUUCAUUGUCUCAAAUAUAUUUUAAUCUAUGUUUAUAGAUUUUUAUAGAU